Molecule: ribosomal RNA, 383 nt
Filed under: uncultured bacterium
Lineage: Bacteria
Description: bacterial SSU rRNA
Rfam family: Bacterial small subunit ribosomal RNA
Source: RNAcentral
AAUCAACGCUGGCGGCGCGCUUAACACAUGCAAGUCGAGCGAGAAAGUCCCUUCGGGGAUGAGUAAAGCGGCGGACGGGUGAGUAACACGUGGGUAACCUGCCCUCGAAUGGGGAAUAACCCCGGGAACUGGGGCGUAAUACCGCAUACGAUCCUUCGGGAUGAAAGCCUUCGGGCGUUCGAGGAGGGCCCGCGCCCGAUUAGCUAGUUGGUAGGGUAACGGCCUACCAAGGCUCCGAUCGGUAGCCGGCCUGAGAGGGCACACGGCCACACUGGCACUGAGACACGGGCCAGACUCCUACGGGAGGCAGCAGUGGGGAAGUCUUGGACAAUGGGGGAAACCCGUGAUCCAGCGACGCCGCGUGACCGAUGAAGCCCUUCGGG